GCGUCUUUAGCUCAGUGGUAGAGCGCUCCCUUCACACGGGAGAGGUCGUAGGUUCAAUCCCUACAAGACGCA
Molecule: transfer RNA, 72 nt
Filed under: bacterium
Lineage: Bacteria
Description: tRNA-Val
Rfam family: tRNA
About the family: Transfer RNA (tRNA) molecules are approximately 80 nucleotides in length. Their secondary structure includes four short double-helical elements and three loops (D, anti-codon, and T loops).
Source: RNAcentral